UUUGGGUGUGACUGCGUACCUUUUGUAUAAUGGGUCAGCGACUUAUAUUCUGUAGCAAGGUUAACCGUAUAGGGGAGCCGUAGGGAAACCGAGUCUUAAUUGGGCGUUAAGUUGCAGGGUAUAGACCCGAAACCCGGUGAUCUAGCCAUGGGCAGGUUGAAGGUUGGGUAACACUAACUGGAGGACCGAACCGACUAAUGUUGAAAAAUUAGCGGAUGACCUGUGGCUGGGGGUGAAAGGCCAAUCAAACCGGGAGAUAGCUGGUUCUCCCCGAAAGCUAUUUAGGUAGCGCCUCGUGAAUUCAUCUCCGGGGGUAGAGCACUGUUUCGGCUAGGGGGCCAUCCCGGCUUACCAACCCGAUGCAAACUGCGAAUACCGGAGAAUGUUAUCACGGGAGACACACGGCGGGUGCUAACGUCCGUCGUGAAGAGGGAAACAACCCAGACCGCCAGCUAAGGUCCCAAAGUCAUGGUUAAGUGGGAAACGAUGUGGGAAGGCACAGACAGCCAGGAUGUUGGCUUAGAAGCAGCCAUCAUUUAAAGAAAGCGUAAUAGCUCACUGGUCGAGUCGGCCUGCGCGGAAGAUGUAACGGGGCUAAACCAUGCACCGAAGCUGCGGCAGCGACGUUUAUGCGUUGUUGGGUAGGGGAGCGUUCUGUAAGCCUGCGAAGGUGGCCUGUGAGGGUUGCUGGAGGUAUCAGAAGUGCGAAUGCUGACAUAAGUAACGAUAAAGCGGGUGAAAAGCCCGCUCGCCGGAAGACCAAGGGUUCCUGUCCAACGUUAAUCGGGGCAGGGUGAGUCGACCCCUAAGGCGAGGCCGAAAGGCGUAGUCGAUGGGAAACGGGUUAAUAUUCCCGUACUUGGUGUUACUGCGAAGGGGGGACGGAGAAGGCUAUGUUGGCCGGGCGACGGUUGUCCCGGUUUAAGCGUGUAGGCUGGUUUUCCAGGCAAAUCCGGAAAAUCAAGGCUGAGGCGUGACGACGAGGCACUACGGUGCUGAAGCAACAAAUGCCCUGCUUCCAGGAAAAGCCUCUAAGCAUCAGGUAACAUCAAAUCGUACCCCAAACCGACACAGGUGGUCAGGUAGAGAAUACCAAGGCGCUUGAGAGAACUCGGGUGAAGGAACUAGGCAAAAUGGUGCCGUAACUUCGGGAGAAGGCACGCUGACACGUAGGUGAAGUGAUUUACUCACGGAGCUGAAGUCAGUCGAAGAUACCAGCUGGCUGCAACUGUUUAUUAAAAACACAGCACUGUGCAAACACGAAAGUGGACGUAUACGGUGUGACGCCUGCCCGGUGCCGGAAGGUUAAUUGAUGGGGUCAGCGCAAGCGAAGCUCCUGAUCGAAGCCCCGGUAAACGGCGGCCGUAACUAUAACGGUCCUAAGGUAGCGAAAUUCCUUGUCGGGUAAGUUCCGACCUGCACGAAUGGCGUAAUGAUGGCCAGGCUGUCUCCACCCGAGACUCAGUGAAAUUGAACUCGCUGUGAAGAUGCAGUGUACCCGCGGCAAGACGGAAAGACCCCGUGAACCUUUACUAUAGCUUGACACUGAACAUUGAGCCUUGAUGUGUAG
Molecule: ribosomal RNA, 1570 nt
Filed under: Salmonella enterica subsp. enterica serovar Bareilly
Lineage: Bacteria; Pseudomonadati; Pseudomonadota; Gammaproteobacteria; Enterobacterales; Enterobacteriaceae
Description: partial 23S ribosomal RNA
Rfam family: Bacterial large subunit ribosomal RNA
Source: RNAcentral